Molecule: ribosomal RNA, 254 nt
Filed under: uncultured bacterium
Lineage: Bacteria
Description: partial 16S ribosomal RNA
Rfam family: Bacterial small subunit ribosomal RNA
Source: RNAcentral
UACGGGGGGAGCAAGCGUUGUUCGGAUUUACUGGGCGUAAAGGGCGCGUAGGCGGCCACCUCACGUCGACUGUGAAAUCUCCGGGCUUAACCCGGAAAGGUCAGCCGAUACUGCGGGGCUAGAGUGCAGAAGGGGCAACUGGAAUUCUCGGUGUAGCGGUGAAAUGCGUAGAUAUCGAGAGGAACACCUGCGGCGAAGGCGGGUUGCCGGGCUGACACUGACGCUGAUGUGCGAAAGCUAGGGGAGCGAACGGG